This 1234-nucleotide non-coding RNA is filed under the name Thaxteriellopsis lignicola. RNAcentral's name for it is "LSU rRNA". It matches the Rfam family "Eukaryotic large subunit ribosomal RNA", at positions 75 to 1416 of the family's 3401-position model. Lineage: Eukaryota; Fungi; Ascomycota; Dothideomycetes; Tubeufiales; Tubeufiaceae. The record is from RNAcentral.
UUGCCUCAGUAACGGCGAGUGAAGCGGCAAUAGCUCAAAUUUGAAAUCUGGCUCUUUCAGAGUCCGAGUUGUAAUUUGUAGAGGAUGCUUCGGCUUACGCCCCGGUCUAAGUUCCUUGGAACAGGACGUCACAGAGGGUGAGAAUCCCGUACGUGGCCGGCGGCCUCCGCCAUGUGAAGCUCCUUCGACGAGUCGAGUUGUUUGGGAAUGCAGCUCUAAAUGGGAGGUAAAUUUCUUCUAAAGCUAAAUACUGGCCAGAGACCGAUAGCGCACAAGUAGAGUGAUCGAAAGAUGAAAAGCACUUUGGAAAGAGAGUUAAAAAGUACGUGAAAUUGUUGAAAGGGAAGCGCUUGCAACCAGACUUGCCCGCGGUUGUUCAGCCGGUCCUUCGGCCGGUGCACUCUUCCGCGGUCAGGCCAGCAUCAGUUUAGGCGGUCGGAUAAAGGCUCUAGGAAUGUAGCUCUCUUCGGGGAGUGUUAUAGCCUGGGGCGCAAUACGGCCCGCCUGGACUGAGGUCCGCGCUUCGGCUAGGAUGCUGGCGUAAUGGUUGUAAGCGGCCCGUCUUGAAACACGGACCAAGGAGUCUAACAUCUAUGCGAGUGUUUGGGUGUCAAACCCGUGCGCGUAAUGAAAGUGAACGGAGGUGGGAACCUUAGGGUGCACCAUCGACCGAUCCUGAUGUCUUCGGAUGGAUUUGAGUAAGAGCAUAGCUGUUGGGACCCGAAAGAUGGUGAACUAUGCCUGAAUAGGGUGAAGCCAGAGGAAACUCUGGUGGAGGCUCGCAGCGGUUCUGACGUGCAAAUCGAUCGUCAAAUUUGGGUAUAGGGGCGAAAGACUAAUCGAACCAUCAGCAGCGCUAGGUGGUCAAGAGGCGGCUGAAAGUGCUUGCCUAGUCCCUCCAUUCGGGGCGACACCGUCAAAUUGCGGGGACUUCCUUAGAGCCUGAACUACCGCGGCCCGUCGAAAGACGCGGCGCAGCACCGGGGUAAUGACCUAGGGUACGGUAAUAACGUUCAGGAUUGGUAAAUCCGCAGCCAAGUCCUAAGUCGGCCUCUAAGGUUGAUAUGGAUGCAGUUCACAGACUAGAUGUCGGUGGGUGCGGCCUCGAAGGCCGUGCUUAAGGUAUAGUCGGACCCCCGUGGAAACGCGGGCGGCAGGCCAAAGUCUCCAGGCGGGUGGGCUCCUUAGCUGGGGCGCCUCGGGGACCCGAAGCCUGUCGGGAGAGUCUCGGGCU